RNAcentral lists this ribosomal RNA (320 nucleotides) under uncultured eukaryote. RNAcentral's name for it is "partial 18S ribosomal RNA". It matches the Rfam family "Eukaryotic small subunit ribosomal RNA", at positions 1470 to 1796 of the family's 1831-position model. The record is from RNAcentral.
CCCUUAGAUGUUCUGGGCCGCACGCGCGCUACACUGAUGCAUUCAACGAGUUACCUUGGCCGAGAGGCCUGGGCAAUCUUUUGAACGUGCAUCGUGAUAGGGAUAGAUUAUUGCAAUUAUUAAUCUUGAACGAGGAAUUCCUAGUAAACGCAGUUCAUCAAACUGCAUUGAUUACGUCCCUGCCCUUUGUACACACCUCCCGUCGCACCUACCGAUUGGAUGGUCCGGUGAAGCCUCGGGAUUGUGGCCAGUGCCUUUUUGGUUUUGGUUGCGAGAACUUGUCUAAACCUUAUCAUCUAGAGGAAGGUGAAGUCGUAACA